RNAcentral lists this unclassified non-coding RNA (524 nucleotides) under uncultured fungus. RNAcentral describes it as "sequence contains ITS2". The record is from RNAcentral. Lineage: Eukaryota; Fungi.
AACGCAUAUUGCACCCCCUGGUAUUCCGGGGGGUACACCUGUUCGAGCGCCAUUUCAUUCUUCAAGUUUGACUUGGUGUUGGGGGGUCAUCCGGUGGGAUACCCCCGAAACUUUUAGGCCGUCCCCAGUAAUUUAGGGCGUCACGAAAUCAAAUCGGCGCCAAAAAUGAUCGGGGGUGCGUUUAAAAUUGGUGGGAAAUGUCACUUUUUUGGAAUCACCAACUAAAAAUUACUUGGAAACUCACUUAUAUUAGUGGGGGUCCCCUAAUUUUUAUUUGUGACCCCCAAAAAUAGAGGGUACCACCUAAAUUUGGAAGGUGUCACUAUCAUUUUUAGUGGGAAACUUGUUUAUUUUAGCGAGUCCCCCCUAAUUUUUAUAUGAUACCCCUUAAAUUUAGUGGUCACCCCCUAAGUUUUGAGUUUGUUUAAUGGGUAACCCCCUAAAAUGUCCUCAAAAUUAGUGUGUUACCCCCUAAUUUUCUCAGUUUUGGCCUCGGAUCAGGUGGGGAUACCCGCUGAACUUAA